Molecule: ribosomal RNA, 465 nt
Filed under: Vreelandella stevensii
Lineage: Bacteria; Pseudomonadati; Pseudomonadota; Gammaproteobacteria; Oceanospirillales; Halomonadaceae
Description: partial 16S ribosomal RNA
Rfam family: Bacterial small subunit ribosomal RNA
Source: RNAcentral
CCUACGGGUGGCAGCAGUGGGGAAUAUUGGACAAUGGGCGAAAGCCUGAUCCAGCCAUGCCGCGUGUGUGAAGAAGGCCUUCGGGUUGUAAAGCACUUUCAGUGGGGAAGAAAGCCUUGGGGCUAAUACCCUCGAGGAAGGACAUCACCCACAGAAGAAGCACCGGCUAACUCCGUGCCAGCAGCCGCGGUAAUACGGAGGGUGCUAGCGUUAAUCGGAAUUACUGGGCGUAAAGCGCGCGUAGGCGGUCUGAUAAGCCGGUUGUGAAAGCCCCGGGCUCAACCUGGGAACGGCAUCCGGAACUGUCAGGCUAGAGUGCAGGAGAGGAAGGUAGAAUUCCCGGUGUAGCGGUGAAAUGCGUAGAGAUCGGGAGGAAUACCAGUGGCGAAGGCGGCCUUCUGGACUGACACUGACGCUGAGGUGCGAAAGCGUGGGUAGCAAACAGGAUUAGAUACCCGAGUAGUC